UUUUAUGCGAAUUCUCUUUUCACUAUCAAUGGCAUUUUAUCGUAAUUAGCUCCUAACUUCAGGGUCCUCUUUGUUACCUCCUCCUUCUCUUCGUCCUCCCUCCAUUUUUCUUCACGUCUGGUUCUUUCUCUCUCUCUCUCUCUUCUUCUUCUUCGUCUCUCUCUCUCUCUCUCUCUCUCUCUCUCCCUGACUCUCUCACUUCUCUGAUUUGGGGUUUUCAGAUGGGAAAUGCAAACGGAAAAGAAGACGACGCCGCCGCCGCCGCUAGCGGUGGUGCAGAUGUCACCUCAUCUUC
Molecule: long non-coding RNA, 295 nt
Filed under: Capsella grandiflora
Lineage: Eukaryota; Viridiplantae; Streptophyta; Magnoliopsida; Brassicales; Brassicaceae
Description: long non-coding RNA (CGRA_LNC000462)
Source: RNAcentral